GUUAGGAAUAUUGGACAAUGGGCGAAAGCCUGAUCCAGCCAUGCCGCGUGAACGAUGAAGGCCUUCGGGUUGUAAAGUUCUUUAGCCGAUGAUUAUAAUGACUGUAGUCGGAAAAUAAGCCCCGGCUAACUUCGUGCCAGCAGCCGCGGUAAUACGAAGGGGGCGAGCGUUAUUCGGAAUCACUGGGCGUAAAGCGUGCGUAGGCGGUUUUGUAAGUUAGGAGUGAAAGCCCAGGGCUCAACCUUGGAAUUGCUCUUAAAACUGCAAGGCUAGAAUCUCGGAGAGGAUAGCGGAAUUUCCAGUGUAGCAGUGAAAUGCGUAGAUAUUGGAAGGAACACCAGUGGCGUAAGCGGCUAUCUGGACGAGUAUUGACGCUGAGGCACGAAAGCGUGGGGAUCAAACAGGAUUAGAAACCCGAGUAGUCC
This 425-nucleotide ribosomal RNA is filed under the name uncultured bacterium. RNAcentral's name for it is "partial 16S ribosomal RNA". It matches the Rfam family "Bacterial small subunit ribosomal RNA", at positions 354 to 796 of the family's 1533-position model. The record is from RNAcentral.